CUGAGGCAGCAACAACUUCCACAAAUUUCUUUCCCUUCGGAGUCGUAGGUUCCAGAUUUUCAAUGCAUUCUGUUCAUUAGUUCAUUUGAGGAAUGCUUCAUGCUUUUAUGUUGAUCGUUGUUCCCCGAGACGGCCUCUUGAAUAUCUGCAUCAGUGCUCUAGGAGUGAUGGGGUCAGAACUUGAUGUCCCUAAGGCUCUGGGAUACAACGGCAAGCUGAAUAGCAAUCAGGCUGAAUGACAAACAUAUGAAGAACGGUUGCAGGAACUGG
This is a non-coding RNA of Thamnophis sirtalis, 270 nucleotides long. NCBI's taxonomy places the organism in Eukaryota, Metazoa, Chordata, Lepidosauria, Squamata, Natricidae. The record is from RefSeq and is a predicted model, not a curated record.